RNAcentral lists this transfer RNA (71 nucleotides) under Ictidomys tridecemlineatus (thirteen-lined ground squirrel). RNAcentral describes it as "Spermophilus tridecemlineatus (thirteen-lined ground squirrel) tRNA". It matches the Rfam family "tRNA". From Rfam's summary of the family: Transfer RNA (tRNA) molecules are approximately 80 nucleotides in length. Their secondary structure includes four short double-helical elements and three loops (D, anti-codon, and T loops). The record is from Rfam by way of RNAcentral. Lineage: Eukaryota; Metazoa; Chordata; Mammalia; Rodentia; Sciuridae.
GGGGUUGUGGCUCAGUGGUAGAGUGCGCGCCUCGCAUGUGCGCGAGACCCUGGGUUUGAUCCCCAACACCA